CCUACGGGUGGCAGCAGUGGGGAAUAUUGGACAAUGGGCGAAAGCCUGAUCCAGCCAUGCCGCGUGUGUGAAGAAGGCCUUCGGGUUGUAAAGCACUUUCAGUGGGGAAGAAAGCCUUGGGGCUAAUACCCUCGAGGAAGGACAUCACCCACAGAAGAAGCACCGGCUAACUCCGUGCCAACAGCCGCGGUAAUACGGAGGGUGCGAGCGUUAAUCGGAAUUACUGGGCGUAAAGCGCGCGUAGGCGGUCUGAUAAGCCGGUUGUGAAAGCCCCGGGCUCAACCUGGGAACGGCAUCCGGAACGGUCAGGCUAGAGUGCAGGAGAGGAAGGUAGAAUUCCCGGUGUAGCGGUGAAAUGCGUAGAGAUCGGGAGGAAUACCAGUGGCGAAGGCGGCCUUCUGGUCUGACACUGACGCUGAGGUGCGAAAGCGUGGGUAGCAAACAGGAUUAGAUACCCCAGUAGUC
RNAcentral lists this ribosomal RNA (465 nucleotides) under Vreelandella stevensii. RNAcentral's name for it is "partial 16S ribosomal RNA". It matches the Rfam family "Bacterial small subunit ribosomal RNA", at positions 338 to 795 of the family's 1533-position model. Lineage: Bacteria; Pseudomonadati; Pseudomonadota; Gammaproteobacteria; Oceanospirillales; Halomonadaceae. The record is from RNAcentral.